AGCUCUCUCUCUUGGAAGAGUAAGCAAAGGUUUGAUAUCAGCUUAAGUCCACAGUUCUCUCUCCCUCUCUUUUUUUUAAAAAAAAAGUUUUUCUAGAUUAUUUUAUUUUGGUAAUAAGGGGUGGAAUAUGGAAAUGCAAAAGCCAAAAAAAUCCUGUCCUAAAAAGAAAUUAAACUGUUAUUACAACACUUCAAGCAACAGAGUACUUAUUCCCACUGAGGCCAGUAUUUCAAGAUAUUAGUUAGCUUUUAAGAUCUAAAACUAGUCUAAAAUAUGAAUUUACAAAUUGCCGUCAUCUAAGCAGAGCUUUCCCUACACCAAAAUAAUAUCUGUGUAGGUUCAAUACCAUCAUUAGGGAUGAAAGAAAAAAAUCAAUUUGUGCAGUCAACAACCUGUGAGAACACAGUAAGAUGUUAUUAAAAUAUUUUAUAUUUGCUUAGGUUGCUUUAUAAAUGUUGCUCUACCAAUACACUGAUUACAUUUGAAGGAACUGUAUUACAGUGCUGCUUAAUAACACAGUGACAAUGGAGAACAAAAUUAUUCAUCCUUUUUGACAAGUCUAUUCCUGAGGAAGUUCAGUCUGCUGCAUAAGUUCACUAAAACAGUGCAUUAGUUGCAACUAUUUAAUGUAUAUCUCAAUUCUUCUGACACAAAUUAACCAAUCAAACAAAUGCCAUCUGAGCACAGUACUGCAGUCAGUUAAAACAUAUUCUGCUUGAAAAUAACAAACCUGAUUGAAAUUUUUGCUUGAAAGAACAAAAUUAAACAAGUCAAUAUAGUUGAAGGGGUACAGAAAGUAAGGGAAAAUAAAUUAUUUUCCUUUGUUUCUUUACAAGUUAGUACGUGCCCAUUGCUCACUUGCUCAUCCAAAGUGCAUAUCUUCUGGCUGAACUGCUGUUUCUUAUCUCCUGAAAUUAAUCUGAUAAGAAAACCCCCUUUUAUCUUCAGAGUUGUAAAGACAAGACUCUUUGGUAAAUGUAUAUGGCACACCCUUUUUGAUUUCAGUAUGCACUUAAAGACAGAAGGAACAUUAAGAUCCAAGUUGAUCUCUACUUUUAAAGGGUACUCUUUCAAGAAAAAAAAUCACGUGGAGGCAGACUAAAAAUAUUUCUUCUACAGUUCUCUAUAUCAGUAAGAAAGAGCGCUACAAAACCUUUUCCUGCUACUAGAUCUGAUCUCUCAGUCAUUUCAGACCUCUUCUUGGCCAGAAUGCAUUGUUUCAAUUUACAUUUCUUUUUUUUCUUUAGUGCUACAUCCACUUUUUUUCUCUGUCUACUCAUGUUCCUGCUCCAGUGAACAUUUACAGUAGUUUCUCAGCUGUUACCCACCCUUCUGUUAUCUCUUUCUCAUUUAUUUUCUUUCUUUACAGUGUCCUGCAUGCAAGUAUCUACUUAUGCACUGAAAUGUUUAUUCCUGGAAGAGAUAAAACCUUUUCAUAACAGCACACUGGCAGUGAUCUACCCAAUCUACAUGUACUCAGAAAUAAAAGUACUCUUGUGAGAAGAGUACACCUCUCUGCCCAUAUCUAGACUUAUCAUCUGUUGUUGCAUGUCACAUAAUAUGUGGUGUUAUCUAUCAAAUGCUGAUAAAGGGUUGGUAUGUACAAUGGUGCCUUUCUGGAUGCAGUAUGUUUUGUAGAAACCCAAGUAAACAUUGUCUGUAAUGGGACUAACAGAUUUUCAGAAACAUCUCAAUCUGAUUAAAAAAAAAAAAAAAAAGUAUGUAAUGACAAGGAAAAUUCUCCCAUUAUAUAUAUACUGCUAAAUGAAAGAGGACUAGGUUCUGAUUCUUGUCUAUGUUACCAGGGACUGGGCUCUGCCAUUAUGGAUGGGUAUCAGAAAACUAGACAGCCGUAUGGAUGACUUGCUUCCAGGCUACCUUUCCAUUUAGCAGCAUACUCUUAUGUGAUAGGUAACAUCCACUGACAAAGCUGAACAUUUAAGCAGUAGAAGUGUCAAGUCUGGGGUUGUUGCUGCACAUUGCUCUGGGAUGAAGCUGUGUUUUGUGCUCAUUGUCAGUGUGACUUUCUCCAUCCGUUUGCCAGUCGAGCUGUAUUCAUCAUUACUUCUGCUUCUUCUGUGGCAGCCCUAGGAGUAGAAAAUGGUGUCUUCUCUGUCUCUUCAGAAUCUUGAAAUCCUGCAACACCACACCACUAAUACCAAAGUGCUCUUCUAUGUGAAUAAGACGCAUACUCCUAUACUAAAUUUUGUUAUUAAAGUCAAAAUCUACAUGUUCUUCUGGCUAAGAUCAGUUACUUUGGAGGUAGUCUGGAAGCAGUCUUCUGUACAGUGCUCUGUACACUCCGCCUGUGGUCUGCACACUAUUUGCAGUGCUCUUGGAUAACGUUCAUUUCAGGUUUCAAUUAAAAGGCAGAGACGUAAGAAGCCGCACCAGCUAAAGGGAAAUAUAUGCUAUUUGGAGGGUUUUGAGACCAACCAUCAAAGAUGUGACAUGGGGAAUCCAGUCAACAGUGGAGCUGUAAGGACCAUUUGCGGCACAGUCUAUGCGCUGUGAAUGUUGAAAUAUACUGAGCACAAAUGAAAUGAAAUGAAUGAAGAGCGUGAACUUCAUAUACGGAAUUAAGAAAUAUGGCUUAAAUCUCCUUAGACAGAAGGAAAAAUGGAACUCUGCUCACUGUACAGCAAAGGUUGAUUGGCUAAUGUACACUGAAAAGGAGAGGACAAAGGAAUAGAAAAUAGGUCAUCAAAAAGAGCUGGAAAGAAAAAAGCAACAAGCAGCCAGAAUCUACCUCUUCAUCUAGAACUCUGCUAAAUUUUCUGAGUAAAUGACCAUUAACUGAGGUCCUGAGGAAAAGCAGAUGUCAGGACUCCUUAUUUCUAGGACCUGAGUGGAUGCUGGAGUUAACUUGUUUCCAAUCCGAAUGGCAUUAUAAAGGACAUACUAUAAGAGCCUCUGCAUGUAUCUGUUUCUUGAAAUGCCCGAUGAAUUCUUUGGUAAAACUGUAAGUUACUGGAGUUCAGAUAUUUUUGCUGAACAGUUCUGCAUUAAGUACAAAGAGUACAUAAAGUUCGGAACAUUUGCAAAGAAGUUUAUGGAUCUGAGUAGCCUCACAGCAUCAAUAUUCCUCCUUUCUUUGUGUAGUCAAGAUGUCCUUUCUCAUUAUGUAGAGAUGUGAUUCCAUAUCAUUUUGUAUAUUUGAGCUACACAUUUUUGAGAAGCAUACCUGAAGGCAGCACAUUACCUCUAAACCCUUGUAGUCCUCUGUAGUUAAUCCCAAAUGAGUCAUGCAAUACAAUUAGUCUUUAUAACAUAGUAAAAAUGGGAAAUCUGUCUUUGAAAACUUAAUUCCAAGGAUCACUUUCCUGUUAAUAGCCAUUAACUUAUUUAAAAGUAAAAAUAUGUAACAUUCAAACACAAACAUAAAUGGUACCAGGAUAAAAUAGAUUAAAAAAAAAAAAGAUUACAUCAAAUAUAUAAUUUACUCAUUUUUUUAAUAAAUGGAGUCUGGGUUCCACAGAGAGAGAAACUGUUUAAACUAUUCAGUUAAUUAAAGCUUAAUUUGUCAUUAACAUCAUGAGUCAGAGCAACUAUAGACCUACAAGGAAAUAAUAGCAGAAAAUUCAUGGUCUUUACAUAGAGUUCUUUGAUUCCACUAAAGUGAGAUGAUUUUGGGUAUUUAAAGAAAAAAAGAAAUAAUUUGAGCAUGUACUGCUACAUUUAUAAGUAAAUAAGAUCAAGGCAAGUCUCGAGGACUGUCACAAGGCAGAUCAUAUCUGACCAAUCUGGUGGCCUUCUAUUGUGGAAUGAUGACAUUGUUGGACAAAGGAAGGGCAACUUAUGUUGUCUACAUGGAACUUGUACAAGGUGUUUUCUAUGAUCCUGCAGUACUUCCUUCUCUCAAAAUUGGAGAAAUAUGGAUUUGAAAUCUGGACUAUUCAGUACAGAAAGAAUUGGUUGGAUGGCAAUAGCCAGAGGGUUGUUGUGAAUGACUCUAUGUCCAGAUGAAAUAUGCUCAAGGGUGGUGUCCCCCAAGUGUCCAUCUUGGAAUGUGCACUCUCUAAUAUCUUUAUCAACAACAUAGAUGAUGGGAUCAAGUGCACCCUAAGCAAGAUUGCUGAUGACACUACACUGAGUGGUGCAGUUGACAUGAUAGAGGGAAGGGACACUAUUUGCAGGGACCUAAAUGGACUUGAAAAGUGGUCAUACAAGAACCUAAUGAGGUUUAACAAGGCCAAGUGCAAAGUGCUGCAGUUGGAUUGAGGUGAUCCCAGAUAUGACUACAGACUGGGAGAAAAACUCACUGAGAGCAGCCCUGUGGAGAAGAACUUGGAGGUUCUGAUUGACAAAAACUGGACAUGAGCCAGCAGUGUCCUCUUCCAGCCCAGAAAGUGAACAGUAUACUUGGCUGCAUUAAUUUUUUUUUUUCCUAUAUCCUUGUUGGAUACAAGGGAAAAGUCUUUUAUAGUGAGGGUGGUGGAGCACUGGAAUAUGUUGCCUAGAGAUAUGGUUGAUGCCCUAUUCCUGGAUACUUUCAAGGGGUGCAGCCUAAAAUUGCAUUUCUGCUGUUGUAUUAGCAUGGAUUUGUGCCUGAGCCCAGCCUACUCUUUCCACAAAAGCUGAAGUGAUGGAUGGAAAUCUGCUUUUCAUCUGGAGAAAACUAAGUGUGGAAAACUAAGUGCAAAGUGCAGGAUUGGCUGAUCUUCUUUGACCAGAUCUAUCUGACUCCUCACCACCUACUCUGUGCGAUUGCAUGGCAUAUUUCUGAGCUUUGAGUGUCCUCACAGAAUUUUAUUCCCAGCCCUUUGUCUUGAUUUCAGCUGGGACAGAGUUGACUUUCUUCACAGUGUCAGGUAUGUUGGUGUGUUUUGGCUGUGGGAGAAAAACAGUGUUGACAGUACAUCAGUGCCUUCAUUGUUGCUUUGCUGUUCUCCACAGAGCCAAGGACAUUUCAGCUUCUUGUACUGUUCUGUCAGUGCAAGGGGAUGAGGGGACACAAGGAGCUGAGGGGAGACAGAAUCAGAACAUCUGAGCUAAACUGGCCAAAGGGAUAUUUUAUGACAUAUGACAUAAUUUGAAAAAACUUGGGGAGUUGGUUGGGGAGAGGGGUGCUGCUCAAAGGCUGGCUGGAUGUCCAUCAGCUGGUGGUGAAUAAUUGCACAGUGCAUACAUUGUUAAGUUGGCAUAUAUUGUCAUUUCUAUUACUAUUUUCAUUUUCUGUCUUAGUAGCUUUUAUCUCAACCCGUGAGUUUUACUUUGUGGCUUUUUUUUUCUUUCCUUCCCAGUUCUCUGUAAUGCCUUUGCUUCCAGAAUUCCUCCCAUACUAAGCCAAGUGCCUGAAAGGUGUGAUGGCUUUCUUUCCAUAUAUGCUUAUCUUUUUCUACUGACAGUACUGACUCAUGUUUUCCAGGAAUAGUGAAAGUUGACAAUGGAAAAUUACUUGUAUACAGAUAAAUUUAAUGGAAACUGAAAUGAAAUAGUGAUAUAAUUCCACAGCACAUAGCUACUCAUGAAAACAUAUUCAAACUUCUCCAAGGCUUUCAACUAUCCAUCAUCUACCAUUCCAGUUUGAAGACUGGCAAAUAUCAUGACAACUAACUGUUUGGUUUUGAUUUGAUGUUUUCACUUAAUUUAAUGUUCAGCUUAACUGAGAUAUUAGUGCUUCUGAAACAAAAUAUGUAUUCCUUAGCAAACAGAAGCAGUUUUUCCAAUGUUGCUCAUCAGUGCUGGCUCAGAACAUCUUGACAGUCUUGUUCAGUUGCAAUUUGGUUGUACUUCUGCACUGUACUUCUGCACAAUACUUGUUUUAAUUCUGGAUGUGAACAACUGAUACUGUUAAUCUGGGAAGAACAAGAGCAUUAUUGUAAAGUAUUGAGUAGCAAAGGUCUGUGUUUUCAGAGAUAGGGAAUAUUGAUUACUGUUUUAGGUUUGCAUCAUAUGUACAGUAUAUUGAUUGGCUGGACCACAAGAAAAUAAGUUCACUUGUCUUUUCAUAGACUAACAAAAACAAUAAUGAUUAGCAGAGUUUAUAAUUAUGUUUCUUGAACAUCAUAACUUGAUUAGUCUGCAGCAACAAACUCAUUUAACUUAAAUUGCAAAUCAAUUUACUCGUUAGUUCUAUUCAAA
Molecule: long non-coding RNA, 6084 nt
Organism: Tympanuchus pallidicinctus (lesser prairie-chicken)
Lineage: Eukaryota; Metazoa; Chordata; Aves; Galliformes; Phasianidae
Exons: 3
Source: RefSeq, a predicted model, not a curated record